AUACGGAGGGUGCGAGCGUUAAUCGGAAUUACUGGGCGUAAAGCGUACGUAGGCGGUUGGUUAAGUUAGAUGUGAAAGCCCCGGGCUUAACCUGGGAACUGCAUUUAAAACUGGCGAACUAGAGUUGAGUAGAGGGGAGUGGAAUUUCAGGUGUAGCGGUGAAAUGCGUAGAGAUCUGAAGGAACACCAGUGGCGAAGGCGACUCCCUGGACUCGAACUGACGCUGAGGUACGAAAGCGAGGGUAGCAAACGGGAUUAGAUACCCUAGUAGUCC
RNAcentral lists this ribosomal RNA (274 nucleotides) under uncultured bacterium. RNAcentral's name for it is "partial 16S ribosomal RNA". It matches the Rfam family "Bacterial small subunit ribosomal RNA", at positions 523 to 796 of the family's 1533-position model. The record is from RNAcentral.